UCCGUGGUGGCUCAGAUGGUAAAGCAUCUGCUACAAUGCAGGAGACCUGGGUUCGAUCCCUGGCUUGGGAA
RNAcentral lists this transfer RNA (71 nucleotides) under Ovis aries (sheep). It matches the Rfam family "tRNA". From Rfam's summary of the family: Transfer RNA (tRNA) molecules are approximately 80 nucleotides in length. Their secondary structure includes four short double-helical elements and three loops (D, anti-codon, and T loops). Further hydrogen bonds mediate the characteristic L-shaped molecular structure. tRNAs have two regions of fundamental functional importance: the anti-codon, which is responsible for specific mRNA codon recognition, and the 3' end, to which the tRNAs corresponding amino acid is attached (by aminoacyl-tRNA synthetases). tRNAs cope with the degeneracy of the genetic code in two manners: having more than one tRNA (with a specific anti-codon) for a particular amino acid; and 'wobble' base-pairing, i.e. permitting non-standard base-pairing at the 3rd anti-codon position. The record is from Rfam by way of RNAcentral. Lineage: Eukaryota; Metazoa; Chordata; Mammalia; Artiodactyla; Bovidae.